Molecule: ribosomal RNA, 253 nt
Filed under: uncultured bacterium
Lineage: Bacteria
Description: partial 16S ribosomal RNA
Rfam family: Bacterial small subunit ribosomal RNA
Source: RNAcentral
UACGGAGGGGGCUAGCGUUGUUCGGAAUUACUGGGCGUAAAGCGCACGUAGGCGGUUUGGAAAGUUGGGGGUGAAAUCCCGGGGCUCAACCCCGGAACUGCCUUCAAAACUCCCAGUCUGGAGGUCGAGAGGGGUGAGUGGAAUUCCGAGUGUAGAGGUGAAAUUCGUAGAUAUUCGGAGGAACACCAGUGGCGAAGGCGGCUCACUGGCUCGAUACUGACGCUGAGGUGCGAAAGCGUGGGGAGCAAACAGG